UACGUAGGGUGCUAGCGUUGUUCGGAAUCACUGGGCGUAAAGGGCGCGUAGGCGGCUUUGUAAGUCGGGGGUGAAAGCCUGUGGCUCAACCACAGAAUUGCCUUCGAUACUGCAUGGCUUGAGACCGGAAGAGGUAAGUGGAACUGCGAGUGUAGAGGUGAAAUUCGUAGAUAUUCGCAAGAACACCAGUGGCGAAGGCGGCUUACUGGUCCGGUUCUGACGCUGAGGCGCGAAAGCGUGGGGAGCAAACAGG
RNAcentral lists this ribosomal RNA (253 nucleotides) under uncultured bacterium. Its description in RNAcentral is "partial 16S ribosomal RNA". It matches the Rfam family "Bacterial small subunit ribosomal RNA", at positions 524 to 776 of the family's 1533-position model. The record is from RNAcentral.